This 253-nucleotide ribosomal RNA is filed under the name uncultured bacterium. Its description in RNAcentral is "partial 16S ribosomal RNA". It matches the Rfam family "Bacterial small subunit ribosomal RNA", at positions 524 to 776 of the family's 1533-position model. The record is from RNAcentral.
UACGUAGGGUGCGAGCGUUAAUCGGAAUUACUGGGCGUAAAGCGUGCGCAGGCGGUUUUGUAAGCCAGAUGUGAAAGCCCCGGGCUUAACCUGGGAAUGGCAUUUGGGACUGCAAGGCUUGAGUGCGGCAGAGGAGACUGGAAUUCCCGGUGUAGCAGUGAAAUGCGUAGAUAUCGGGAGGAACACCGAUGGCGAAGGCAGGUCUCUGGGCCACUACUGACGCUGAGAAGCGAAAGCAUGGGGAGCGAACAGG